Molecule: transfer RNA, 74 nt
Filed under: Candidatus Kaiserbacteria bacterium
Lineage: Bacteria; Candidatus Kaiseribacteriota
Description: tRNA-Trp
Rfam family: tRNA
About the family: Transfer RNA (tRNA) molecules are approximately 80 nucleotides in length. Their secondary structure includes four short double-helical elements and three loops (D, anti-codon, and T loops).
Source: RNAcentral
GGGCCUAUCGUAUAGUGGUAGUACAUCGGUCUCCAAAACCGACAGCCCAGGUUCGAUCCCUGGUGGGCCCGCAA